This is a non-coding RNA of Triticum urartu, 2692 nucleotides long. The record is from RefSeq and is a predicted model, not a curated record. NCBI's taxonomy places the organism in Eukaryota, Viridiplantae, Streptophyta, Magnoliopsida, Poales, Poaceae.
CCAUUUUUUGCAAAAAAAAAACCCUGCCAUCACAACCCAUACGAGAACAUGAGGGUUACCUCCGCCGUCGCGCCCCAUCCCUCCGCCGCCGCGCGCCCCGUCACUCUGCUAGCCGCCGCGACCCAUCCCUCCGCCGCCGCGCCGCCGUCCAUCCUCUCCUCGGUGCCCGUCCUCGCUCCGUCAUCGCCGAAUCUGGACGAGAUCGGGAGAAUCCGCCGCAUCUCGCGCAGCUGCUCGUCGGCCAUGCGGGGAGGACGAACGAGCUGCUCGUCGGACAUGCAGGGAGCACAGACGAGCUGCUCAUCGGCGUCCGUCCCACAGCCCCGCUGAAGACGGCGCCCAGACCCCUUGACAGCGCACUCCUCCUACUUGCCGCCCGGGUGCAAAUAGCGACAGCGAGUAGGCGACAACUAUACUACGUCGAGAAGUGAUACAGGGGCAUGAAGCAAGCGAGCAGGUGCGCAGCGACCUGCUACUGCACUAAUACGAGCCUUGACGGAGCACCGGGGCCGGCUCGACAGGGCAUGCCGCCCGCCGGUAGACGCCUGGUUGUGUGAGACGGAGAUGAACCUCGCGUCGUCGCCUCUGCAGCCUGGACAAAGCUCCGCCGGUGCUGGGGAUGAACCCUGCGUCUCAAUUUUGCAAGACAUGCUUUAGUUGCACCAUUGGUCAAGUGGCUUGAACACAACUCACAUGAGUCAUCGUCAAAUGGCCCUUUUCUGAAAUUCAUUCUCUUAUGCACUGAGAGGAGUUACUCCAUGACAGUCUAUAUACAUACAGAUGCAAGCAAUUAAGAAACUCAUGCAGAUGAUGACUGGAGAAUUUUUCACGAAUUUUCCAACCUAAAUUUGCUACAGAGGUUGGGAAAAGAGGAGUCCAGGCUCUGAUGAACACAUGUUCUUUCGCAGAAACCAAUUCAACUAGACCAGGACUUUGUUUAUUAGUCCUCCAGUGUUUGUUGGAAUGAGAUGACACAUGGUAUGCCAGCUAACAAGCAACUGAAGUAAGAAGAUUUUUGUAAUUUCUUGGAAAGAAAGAGCCCUGAACCCAAGAUGGCGAAGGAUCCAAUAUGUCAGGACCAAUGAAGGAAUUGCAGAGCUUCAUAUUCAGUUUAUUUUAGGUGCUUGCCUACUUCAAGUGUCUAGAUUACAGGAAACAUGUUUCUUCAAGUGUCUACUUCAAGUAAGUUUCUUAUAGAAGUAGUCAGUUUGAUUCCUUCAAAAUAGUUGUUGCCUGAUAAUUUGUGUAUGACUAAAUAGCAGUACCUCAAAUUUUGCUUCAGCUUCUUAAAACAGAGUAAUUUUGUAAAUCCUAACAGAACUCUAUCAGUCUGAACCAAUUUCUUGUAAAUCUACAAUACAUCAUAGCCUCAUCUGAUCGAAUCAUUGGUUUCAGAUCAAUACAUCCUUGUGCAUUCCCAUAAGAUCAAUAAUAUUCAGUUUGAUUGUGUCAAAAACUUGCUGCUUGACAAUCUGUAUGACUAGAUAGCAAUACCUUAAAAUUGCUUUUGGUUUUAAACUGAACUGAACUUGGUUGGGGCUGAACUGAACUCAGUUUGGUUCUACAAAAAGAUAGGGUUAUAUUCUACAUCGUUUUUAAGGCGAUAAGGUGACCUAAGGCGAGCACCACCCGCUCUAGCGCCUAGGCGACGCCUAAGCGCCUAAGGCGGGCAUAUUUGUAAGGCGCUGCCAGGGCGCCUUAUCGCCUAAGCGUCCAAGGGAGGACGCCUUAAAAACAAUGAUUCUUUGAAUUUUUCUUGUUAACUCUAAACUGGACUCAACUCAGUUUGAUUCUGUAAAAAAGAUUGUGACAGACUUGUAUAUAUAUGCAACAGUCUUUCACCAACACUCAAAUUAGAUGGGCGUGAUAUUUAAAAGAAAUCGACAUACUGUAGUUUAUGAGAAUUUGGCAAGAAACUCGGAACCGAUGGACUUGACUUGUGAAAAAAUGUAAUCAAUGGACGACUACAGUUUAUAUCAAACACAGAAUCGAUGGACUUUCGCAAUGCAGGCUUGCCCUUACCAUUUACCAGGUGGUGACUUACCGGAGGAGCCAGUGGUGCUGCUGCGACCUUCUCCGGGCGAUGGUCAAUGAUGCAAGCUAAAAUCGGGGAUGGGAUAGCGGCUCCGGGCGACAAUCAGAGGCGAGGCAGCGCUGCAGACCAAGGACAAAGUGAUGCACUGGGGCGACGACGCGGGGCGAGGAAGAAGCGGUGGAUGGGGCUGUGCAUGAGGGAGUUGGGGCGACCAUUCGGUUCAGCGCACGGGAUCGUAUUAACUCUGUUUUCUCCUAGGUACCUGCGCUGGUAUAGUUUCUCCAUGGGGUUACCAAACGAUUCUCUCUACUCCUUGAUUAAGAUGUCACAUCAAUUUUCUACUUACAUGUCAGGCUUAGCACUGGGAGCAGCCUUAUAGAAGUAAUGCAAUAUAUUCUCUCUUAUGCCUACUUGAAAUACUGUUGUAGGUCUGUACUUUGCCUCUCAUAUUGCAAGGAUAACACAUUGUAUGUCUAUUCUCUUAAGUUUAGUAAGGAUGAAGCAGGAAAGUGUGCUGGACCUUCUAACAUGGAUAUUGUACAUGUACGAGCUACGGGCCACUAUUGUUUAUCACAUAUGGAUUGUAAAUGUAGUGACAUUGAAGUUUGUAACAUAUCCUUAAAUUUCUUUAUUGUAACAUUAUGUUAACUAAAAAUC